AUUCCGUGAUGAGGGCACUUUCUUAAUGACUCUUUGAAUCUUUCCCAUGCCUCAUACAAGGAGUCAUCAUCCAUUUGUUGGAAAGCAGUAAUCUUAUUUCUCAGCUU
This is a non-coding RNA of Gossypium hirsutum (cotton), 107 nucleotides long. The record is from Rfam. Lineage: Eukaryota; Viridiplantae; Streptophyta; Magnoliopsida; Malvales; Malvaceae.